CUGCUGGGCGGUCUGAAAGGGCUCACCGAAAGGUGGGCCCUUUUUUGUUGCCUGCGGUUUUCAAAGCCUUUGCAAAACCCUCCCACU
Molecule: unclassified non-coding RNA, 87 nt
Filed under: Pseudomonas chlororaphis
Lineage: Bacteria; Pseudomonadati; Pseudomonadota; Gammaproteobacteria; Pseudomonadales; Pseudomonadaceae
Source: RNAcentral